RNAcentral lists this ribosomal RNA (423 nucleotides) under Triticum aestivum (bread wheat). RNAcentral describes it as "partial small subunit ribosomal RNA". Lineage: Eukaryota; Viridiplantae; Streptophyta; Magnoliopsida; Poales; Poaceae. The record is from RNAcentral.
AUGACGAAAUGCUUCCUGCUGCUCGCCUUCUUGGCGUUUCUCCUGCCGGCGGCCUAUGCCACGUGCCACCCUGACGACCUCCAAGCGCGGCGGGGCUUCGCAGGGAAGAGCAAUAGAAGAACACUCCAACAACAACAACCAAAUACCAUUACUGGGACCAACAACAGUGUCAGAUCUGGGAGUGGCAAUAUUGUAUCUGGGAACGGCAACACUGUCAUAUCUGGGGAUAACAACAAUGUUUCUGGGAGCAACAACACAGUCACAUCUGGGAGCAGCAAUGUCAUAGUUGACACCAACCAUGUCGUUACUGGGAGCAACAAUACUGUAUCCGGCAAUAACAAUAGGGUAACUGGGAACAAUAAUGUUGUAUCAGGGAGCAACCAUGUCGUGUCCGGGGACAACAAAGUCGUAACUGGCGGUUAA